AUACGUAGGGUGCAAGCGUUAAUCGGAAUUACUGGGCGUAAAGGGUGCGCAGGCGGUUCGGAAAGAAGGAUGUGAAAUCCCAGGGCUCAACCUUGGAAUGGCAUUCUUAACUACCGGGCUAGAGUGUGUCAGAGGGGGGUGGAAUUCCGCGUGUAGCAGUGAAAUGCGUAGAGAUGCGGAGGAACACCGAUGGCGAAGGCAGCCCCCUGGGAUAACACUGACGCUCAGGCACGAAAGCGUGGGUAGCAAACAGGAUUAGAUACCCUGGUAGUCCACGCCCUAAACGAUGUCAACUAGCUGUUGGGUUCUUCGGAGCUUGGUAGCGCAGCUAACGCGUGAAGUUGACCGCCUGGGGACUACGGUCGCAAGACUAAA
This 375-nucleotide ribosomal RNA is filed under the name uncultured bacterium. Its description in RNAcentral is "bacterial SSU rRNA". It matches the Rfam family "Bacterial small subunit ribosomal RNA", at positions 523 to 898 of the family's 1533-position model. The record is from RNAcentral.